CUCUUACUUUUAAUUUUGUAAGUAUUACCUGCUCCAUGAAUUUAUUUAAAUAGCCGCGGAAUUUUAACCGUGCUAAGGUAGCAUAAUCAUUAGCCUCUUAAUUAGAGGCUUGCAUGAAUGGUAUAACAUUUUACCUACUUUACUAUAUAUAUACUAACCGAAACUAAAUUAAGAAUUAAAAUGUUCUUAUAUAUUAAAUAGACGACAAGACCCUAUUGAACUUUACUUUUGUUUAGCUGGGGCAGCUAAGAAAUAAUUAUCUUUCUCAUAAUUAUUUUAUAAAUGACCCAAUAUAUUUGAUAAAAUGAACAAGUUACCAUAGGGAUAACAGCGUAAUAUCUUUUUAAAGUUCUUAUUUAAAAAGGAGAUUGCGACCUCGAUGUUGAAUUAAUGUAACUUUAUUUAGUGCAGUUACUUCUAAAGUAUGUCUGUUCGACAUUUAAAACAUUACAU
RNAcentral lists this ribosomal RNA (453 nucleotides) under Metazygia wittfeldae. Its description in RNAcentral is "partial 16S large subunit ribosomal RNA". It matches the Rfam family "Bacterial large subunit ribosomal RNA", at positions 1831 to 2601 of the family's 2925-position model. The record is from RNAcentral. Lineage: Eukaryota; Metazoa; Arthropoda; Arachnida; Araneae; Araneidae.